GUAUAAACCGGAAGCUGCGUCACUUUCAGUUUCAGUUUUCCAUUUCAGGUGUGUUUUCAGGUAUAGUGGAGCCCGGGCCUUACAGUAGACUUAUAAUGGAGCUUGAUCAAACUUGGAAGUCAUCAGUUAGAAAUCAGAAAUAUCCUAAAAUUACUGAUUUUCCACUAUCAGUAUUUUAUUAGGACAUUAUACUGUAUAUUAUCACAAUAAAUUUAAUGAACACACAACUAUAGGACAAAAUCAUGUUUUUUGCUAAAAUAGGAUGUUUCUAAUAUAUUGGACAUUUACUCGUUGACUUGUACAUAUGUGAAAUCAUUGACCAAGCAUAGAAUUAAUCAUUAAGUUUCCUAUACUAUUGUUUAUCAAACAAACACUAGAGAAAGAUCUCCUCGGUGUAACUCCAUUAUGUGAUAAAAUAUCUGAUUUUGCACUCUCCUAAGAAUGCUUGAUAACUCUCUUUUCUGCAGAAGAGAAAGAUUACUUCAAAUAGUUCUUAUGGACAGCUUAUUAUGGAGAAGUAAGCAUGAAUGCCUAAGGAUUUAAAUUCAUUUAAAGCAUAAAGUGAAUAUCUUUUGAAGAAAAGAACUGAAGAAUGAUUAGCCCACAUUGUUGUUAUGCUGACAAGAGAAGAUAAAUCUAAGAAAAGUGUUGCUUGACCAUCAAUCUUAUUCCACAAUUUAAAGAUUUUUAUAGUAAAGACUAAUUCUGUACUCUUAUAAAAUGACCUAACCAACAGCCUAUUAGCUAAAUUAAAUAGACUUGUAAAAACAAAUUAUUUCCAUCAUUCCUAAUCUGUCAGAAAAUACAUAACUCAGCCUGCUCCAGAUUUUUGACUACAUUAAAACUCAUAAGUCACCUUUAAGUGUAAGACCAAUUGAUCUUACAUUUAAAGAUGACUUAUGAGCAGAUUGCAGAUUCCUGCUGUAUAACUUUAAGAAAAAAUUUGCCUGUUGAUGUUUAGACAAGUUAAAAGUAUAUAAUAAAAUAUAGUUUAUUCCUCAAUUGCAUUUUUUAGAGAAAAUUUAUGAAGUGGGUUCUCUCCCAAAAAGAUCUUAACCAUGUUCCAUUUUGAAAAGCUAUUCUUCACUGAAACUAAUACCUCUCUGCUUUAUGUUCUACAGGUUUCUCCUUGAAAAUGUUCCAAAUAAUAGCCAAUUAGCUCUAACCUUGAGGAACAUUGUCAGUAUCAUAUACUAUAAAUAGUACUUCAUUUUUGAAGAUAGUUACUGUGAACAAAUUGAAGACUUUAUGACCAGGUGCCUUAUGGAGUAAUAUUAGCCAAAAUCUUUCUCUAUUCGGUUGAAUCUACUAUUCUUUGUAAAUUUUAACUGGGAAUCAAAUAUUACCCUAGAUAUGUUGAUGAUAUAUUCGUAGUCUGGGAAAACAAAAUUAAAAUUGGAGAUCUGCAAAAAAGCCUUUCUCUUCAUAAUAUGGACCUGGUCUUGAUGUUGGACCAGAGAAGGCCUACCAUUUCCUUGAUAUAGCUCUCCAUAUAGAAGCAGGCAAAUAUGUCAUCUCUAUAGGAAGCUGACCUAUUACCCUACCAUGAUUCCAGUAUGGUCAGCCAUCCCAGUAGACUAUAAAAAAAGCAGUGUUCAAUGCUUUCUUUAGAAAAAUCUUUUUUCCAUUAUCCUUUAGAAAGAGAUGGAAAGAAUAUAUUAUGGUCAUAGAAAUGGAUAAGAAACAUGGAUAUUUCCUAAGCUUUAUGCAAAAUAUUUACAAAAAAAUUAAAAAUGACCCACUUGACAACUGCCAGAGCUUAGCAUAAGAGUGAAGCUAACCAAUCCAAGCUACUGCUCUGUUUUUGCCAGUACCUUUUGGUUUAAACAAUAACAAAAACAGCAAAAUCAAUUUCUUCUAAUCUUAAUAAUAGGCUUGUGCCCAAGAGAAAUCCCAUUAUAUACAAUACUCUUAUGAAAUGGCAAAGACUUCUAUAAUGAGGGGCUAUUGGACAGGUGUUUAUGUAAUCCUCAUGUUCAGUUAUAAAGACUUGAAUGCUAUCAAAGAAUAUAUAGCUCUAACUAAAAGAAAUUUGAAAGGAGGCUUCUGGAACAUAAAAACAAUGUAUAAAGAGGAUAUUUACAAACUGCUUUAUCAAAUAGAUUCUUUGAACAUGAAGUUGAAAUAGAUUGAAUUUAUUAUAGUUGGAUAUAUAUAUAAAUUGCAGUUUUAGGGUUUUCAUACAAGUAGAUCAGAAAAACAUUUGCAGAUGACAAAAAUGUCAUAUUAUAUCAAUACUGGAUCAUCAUG
RNAcentral lists this long non-coding RNA (2250 nucleotides) under Androctonus crassicauda. Lineage: Eukaryota; Metazoa; Arthropoda; Arachnida; Scorpiones; Buthidae. The record is from RNAcentral.